Molecule: ribosomal RNA, 253 nt
Filed under: uncultured bacterium
Lineage: Bacteria
Description: partial 16S ribosomal RNA
Rfam family: Bacterial small subunit ribosomal RNA
Source: RNAcentral
UACGUAGGGUGCAAGCGUUGUCCGGAAUUAUUGGGCGUAAAGAGCUCGUAGGCGGUCUGUCACGUCGGAUGUGAAAAUCCAGGGCUCAACCCUGGACCUGCAUUCGAUACGGGCAGACUAGAAUUCGGUAGGGGAGACUGGAAUUCCUGGUGUAGCGGUGAAAUGCGCAGAUAUCAGGAGGAACACCGAUGGCGAAGGCAGGUCUCUGGGCCACUACUGACGCUGAGAAGCGAAAGCAUGGGGAGCGAACAGG